CCUGAGUAAACUAGGAGUGUGGGGACCUUGUGGGAUGGUUGAUGGAGAAGGGAGAAGCAGGGAGGGGAGCAGAGAAAAAUGUAGAGCUCAAAAAAAUCAGUAAAAAAACAGGUAUCUCAAAAAAAGAAUGUAGUUUUUUAAUAAAGCAGAUUACAUUGGCUUAUAAAUAAUAUAGUCUUAUUAGUUUCUUCAUUAUGAAAAUGUAUGUACAUCUAUAAAUAUGUAUGUAUAUGACUGUAAUCAUACACAUGCAUGUUUAUAGACACUCAAAACACACAAACUGUACACACAUAAAUAUGUAUAUAAUUGAUUAUGUAUAUAAUUUCUUUUUUGGUAUAACAUGGCCAACAGUUGAAGGCCCAUAAUUCAAGAAUUAUGCUGUAUAAAAUCCUCAAGAGACCUCUAAAAUUCAUAAUACCAACAGGGCAUCAAAAUGCAGGGCUUUCCUUGGAUCUUCUAACAUCUUCACAUUCAUUAUUUAGAUUAGUUCCAUAAUAUCUUUGAACUAUUUCUUCUACCUGAAUAUUUGUUGAGAAGUUCAUGUACCUUCACAAAUGUGCGUGCAUUCACUUGGAAGACAGAUGUCAAUGUUGCUGCUGUUAUUAACGUCUCAACAUUUUUUUUUAAUUCCCCAAGGGAUUAACACAGAGUACCUCCGUUCCUGGAGGUACUGCAAUACCAGGUCGAUGAGUGGAGUGGACAGAGUAAAUUUCUACUUCCAAAAAUCCAUUUAAUAUGUUGUCCUCAGAUAGAGGACGUAUCAUAUAUUAAAUUGAUAAGAACAGAUAUUACACUUGAUCUUAGUCAAAAGGUGAGAAGCGACCAACAUUUUAUUUUUUGAGACAGACACUUUCACUGAACUUGGAGUUUUGCAAGCGAACUCCAGAGAUCUAUGUCCCUCUGCCUGCCAUCACUUGGCUACCAUACACAGCUUUUUAUGUGGCUACCCAUACACAGGCAUGCUACCACACACAACUUUUUAUGUGGGUCCUGGGAACACAAGCUCAUAUCAUCAUGCUUGCAUGUCAAGAAUCAUUUCCAAGUCCUGUUCUUCCUAAAAAUGCAGGUAAAGACUACAUACUUUUAAUUAUAAUAGAACAAAAGCCAGUGAAAAUUAUUCUGCAAGUGGGGUGAUGAGAUAGCAAGGACUCCACUGAGAGUUCAUUGCCUUUGCAAAUCCUAAUAUAGACAUAGACGUAAGAGAGGUAGUGAAAAUGCAAUUAAGAGAACUGUAGGAAUUACACAAAGUUUCAUAAACCUAUGUAAGAUAGUUCUAACAACAUGUGCAUAUAGAUUAAGAACAAAUGUUCAGGGAUUAUUUCAUAAGCACUUGUAGGAAAGACAAUAUUAAAAUAAUCAUUUACAGUUUUUAGAUCUAUAGGAAAGUUGGGAAGACUGAAUAGUUCUUACUCAUCCCACAUAUUAUCUCUGAUGUUCUUAAUAUUGUGCUAUGGACUGGAUAUAAGAUAUCCAGGCGUUCACACACUGAAUGCUUGGUCCACAGGGCAGCAAUGGGAAGAGCUAACUGAAUUCUGAAAGCUCUUAUCAUCAAUCCAAGGAUUAGCUCAUACUUUACAAUCAGUUUAUGGAUGGUCUUGGUUGGAGGAAGUGAGUCACUGAGGUGGUACUUGAAAGGGUAGAUCUCUCCAAACCCAAGCCCAUUUCUCUUUCUACCCCUUUCUCCUCCCUUUCUAUGUCACAAGACAGGCAGUUCUGUUUUCCACAAACUCCCCUGCUGAGAAGUUCUGCCUCAUCAUCACAUGGGAGGAGCAGUGGGGCCAGAGGACCAUGGGUCUGAACCGAUGAGUCAAGCAAACUACAUCUUUCCUUGUUUAGGUGCUGUCCUCAGGUGUUUUGUCACGGGGAUGAGAAGCUGAUUAGCACACAUGAGUAAGAUGGCAGCAUUUGUUGUAGUUGAGUCAGUAUUGAAUCACUGUUGAAUAGCUUAAGUCACCAGUUUAUUCAGAGAUCCUGAAUUGUUUUAUUUUGGUUUGCUUUUAAUUUAAAGGCUGGCCCCUUGUGUUGUAAUGCUAGCCUAGAUGCCGCAAUCUUCAUCUAUUGGAAUGUGUGUGUGUGUGUAUGUGUGCGUGUGUGUGUGUGUGUGUGCAUGCUUGCAUAUCUACUUCUCAAGAUUGCCUUACAUCUUGUCCUCACCCUGGGCUCCUUGGCUGAAACAACAUCUUAUAAUUUCUCAUGGUUGAUGACUUUUUCACUGUGUUGAGAAAGAGAAGUUAAAGGUUUAAGAGAGCAGGGAAGCUAGCAAGAACAAGAAAUGGAAUGAGAGCAUAAAUAUUUAGGCAAAAACAAGCAAAAGAAAAAGCAACCAAACAACAAAAGCUAGUCCCCCUCAGCAGAGCAAUCCUUAACUUGUACUGAUGAACAGCAUGUGCAUGCCAAGGGAAGCCCCUGCUUCUUCGAGUCAGGGCUGGGAAGUCCCUGCCCCCCCUCAUUUUCUUUUUCACCAUUUGUGUUUAUUUUCAAAUGCAAAUAACAAGAUAUGCUUUACGUUAAGAGACAAAAGCAAUAAUAAAAUGUCUGGCCUUUCUACAAAAAUAUAAUCCCAAGGAUAUUUUGCUAAAUUUUAUAUUUUAGUUCCACUGUGUAACUGGCAUCGUGAGAACAAAGUGAAGCUGUGAAAUAGUUUUGCUAGUUUCUAAUUUUCCAUACAUGGUGCAUGAUUCAUUCCCAGGAUGUGAUGAAAAGAAUCGUUGGCCAGGUUUGUCUUUUGAUAUAACCUUUCCAGGAAGAACAAAAUGUAAGGGAAGGAUCAAGGAACUGUUAUUAUAAUUAGUUCUACACAGGAAAGAGACAAAUAACACCUUUCUUAGUAAGCUUUAUGUAAAAGUCAUCCUGACAGAAGACAAAGGACAUGGAUGCUUCAUGGUCAGUGUCAUAGAAGUGAUAGAAGCAGAAUCAUUUGUGUAAGCAUUGGAGGGUAGCAGAAUAUAUUAUUACAAAAUGUGCUGUAAGGGUUCUUUCGAGCUGAUGUAAAUGAAAAGAAGCUAAGGAAAAGUCCGGUUUCCCCCCUUAAGUACGUAAGAGCAGCAUAUGAAUUCCUAUAGUCCUCUGUUCUGCCAGUAAGGACUGUUACCAAAAGAAGGCUUUAGACCAUUUAGAUGCUUAGCUGGGAGACAGCGCCAGAGGAUCCCACUUAACAAAGCUUCUGGAGGAGUCCUCAUCAACUCUGUAUAAUACUGUGUAUUUGCGUUUGCUGUUUCCAGCUCCCAGAGACUUAAAGUUCUUUCUUUCUCCUUUGUCAUUGCUCUAAAAGCACUCCUUGCCAAUGCCACAUAAGAAAAAGGUCUAAAUUAGCUCUUUGAGAGUUACUCUUUGCCUGAGAAAUAUGCAUAUUAAUGAACUUAUGUUUGUUCUUUUUAAUGUUUGUGGAUCAAGGACCUGGAUAAGCCACUCCUAAUGUGCAGAGUGUUUAUAGGGAACAGAUCGGUUUAAUUGUGCCGGGAUCCUGAGAGAGAAGAAAAAGAGAGAGGAGACCUAUUAAAAUGGAGAGAAACACAGGGCAACAGAGAAGGGAGUCUGGAGCAGACAGACAGCUGCCUGAAAGCAGAUCUCAUUAGAAUCUUCAUAACAUCCGUCUUAGACAUGCUUUCUGAGCUUCUCAUUUCCUGCCAAAGUACACGCACAAUUCUGGAGAGUCAGAAGAGGUGGGCAGAAGCUUCAAAUCACCAUUGACUUUAUCAAGGAUGAUAUAUGCUAGCAAGAAAAAAGGAAAUGAAAUACAGAUGCUGGAAGUGAAUGGAUGAAGAUUUACCUAGAGUUACAUAAGAAGAGAAGUGGGCAGGGACAUGAAGGGAUGAAGAUGCAUCCUGCAAGAAGAGGGGAAAGAUUGUUCUAGCAGAAGUAAAGCAUACUAAGACAUUGGAGAGAGAACAUCUUUAUAUUGAACUUUAACUGAAGUAGAUGAGUCUGAUAAAACUGAGAAGGGUUAUGUAAUUUGCAUUGAAUUUUGUCAUACACAUUCAUUUUCUGUGUGGUAAACAGAUGAACAAAUAGCCCAUGUACAUCUGAAGAUCAGCAUCUGCCCUCCUUUGGUAGCCGAGCUUCAGUGACAAAGUAGUUUGGUCUUGAUGGGGAUCUGGACACAAGGAAAAAAUAACAAGCUUCAAGAUGUUUGUUAAAAAUGGAGCCUGUGAUUUUUCCGACUGAGUUAACACUGUGUCUGACAGACAUAGAAAAACAAAAAUGGAGGAAAACUAGAACGAGGAAAAUUUUACCAUUAAUUUCUUCUGCAAGUAUGUUACAGUCGUGUAACUUGGUCUUCUUGUGGGACACCUAACAGUAGGAGUAGGGGCUGUCUCUGACUCUUUUACUGGUUUUUAGUACCCUACACCUCAUCCUAGGUCACCUUGCCCAGACUUAAUACUUGCAGAGGGACUUAGUCUUACUAUGUAGUGAUAUUUCAUUUGUAUUUUAAUAAAUAAAGCUUGCCUAAAUAUCAGAGAGUAAAACAACCCCACUGGUUAGCCUUACAGACCGGGCAGUGAUAGCACACACCUUUACUCCCAGUAGCCACACUAGUUUGCUAUAGACACUGGGCAAUGCAUGUUUUUAAUCCUAGUGGUGCACGCCUUUAAUCUCAGCCCUAGAGAGAAAUGUAACAAGGGAGGAGACAGCUCACAGACACAGUCACAUUCUGAAAUUCCUGGAGGCAGGAUCACCAUUUCAGACUGACGUAGAGUUAAGAGCCAGUAACUGGUUGUUUUGCUUUUUGGACCUUCAGGUUGAAAUCCAAUUUCUGUCUCUGGGUCUUUAUUAAUCAUGCUACAUUACUACAACUUGAUAUGACAUAUUUGUUGAUAUCCAUGGGAGGCCUGACAUUUCCUGAACAGAAGUGGAGAAGAAGUGGUUGGAGAGGAUGGGAAUAGAGGGGAUGAGGAGAGGGCCUGGGUACAGAGCAGGAGGGAAACUGAGGCCAGGAUGUAAAUGAAAUAAAUUUAUAUAAGAAAAUCCUUUUAUUCCUAGUAUUAAACAACCCAAACUGCUCUCUCAUGUCACAAUAAUAAACAAACAGGAAAUAAAGCAAAAACAAUAUGUUCAUGUUUUAUUGCUAUAUAUUUGUACAUAUUUAUAAUUUUAUAAAACACUGUAAAAU
Alexandromys fortis (reed vole) is the source of this 5110-nucleotide long non-coding RNA. RefSeq lists it as uncharacterized. The transcript is spliced from 3 exons. The record is from RefSeq and is a predicted model, not a curated record. Lineage: Eukaryota; Metazoa; Chordata; Mammalia; Rodentia; Cricetidae.